RNAcentral lists this ribosomal RNA (305 nucleotides) under uncultured bacterium. RNAcentral's name for it is "bacterial SSU rRNA". It matches the Rfam family "Bacterial small subunit ribosomal RNA", at positions 336 to 658 of the family's 1533-position model. The record is from RNAcentral.
UUCCUACGGGAGGCAGCAGUGGGGGAUAUUGCACAAUGGGGGGAACCCUGAUGCAGCGACGCCGCGUGGGUGAAGAAGCGCCUCGGCGCGUAAAGCCCUGUCAGCAGGGAAGAAAAUGACGGUACCUGAAGAAGAAGCCCCGGCUAACUACGUGCCAGCAGCCGCGGUAAUACGUAGGGAGCGAGCGUUGUCCGGAUUUACUGGGUGUAAAGGGUGCGCAGGCGGCUCUGCAAGUCAGGCGUGAAAGCUAGGGGCUCAACCCCUAAACUGCGCUUGAAACUGUGGAGCUUGAGUGAAGUAGAGGG